GUGGGAAAGAGAGGUCCAGAGGUCUGGUUGACGGCCGUGGCAGAGGAGCGGGUCUGAGCACACUCGGACUCGUCAUGUCCUCGGCACACCGAGUGAGUCGCCCUGCCUAGGCUGUCCAGCUCUGACCUCUUACUUCCGCACAGCCCCCCGGCCAAAAGUACCGCCUCCAAACCACGCCCCUAGCCCCGCCUACAUUGCCACGCCUCUAGCCUGCUUAAUAAAAUGCCUGGUACUUCCGCAAUAAAGUGGAUCUGCACCAUCAGCCUGGUCUCCGGUGUCUUCUUUUCACCGUGUCGCCGCUUACCACGGGCCCAGGUCCCUCGACCCAAAGAGGUUCUACCUCAAACUAGAAUUUUCCCAUUAAUUGUUUUGAAUCACAUUUGAUCAACUUAACUGAAGCAGCAGAGAUCAAAACUGCAGGUAAGAAAAGUAGUUUGUUACAGGGAAUUGUAAAUUGACUAAGUGGUCAGAAUUAUUCUACCCCUAUGA
RNAcentral lists this long non-coding RNA (489 nucleotides) under Chinchilla lanigera (long-tailed chinchilla). RNAcentral describes it as "lncRNA (ENSCLAG00000024438.1)". The record is from RNAcentral. Lineage: Eukaryota; Metazoa; Chordata; Mammalia; Rodentia; Chinchillidae.